ACGGGAGAAAGCAGGGGACCUUGGCCUUGCGCUAUCAGAUGAGCCUAGGUCGGAUUAGCUAGUUGGUGAGGUAAUGGCUCCAAGGCGACGAUCCGUAACUGGUCUGAGAGGAUGAUCAGUCACACUGGAACUGAGACAGUCCAGACUCCUACGGGAGGCAGCAGUGGGGAAUAUUGGACAAUGGGCGAAAGCCUGACAGCCAUGCCGCGUGUGUGAAGAAGGUCUUCGGAUUGUAAAGCACUUUAAGUUGGGAGAGAGCAUUAACCUAAUACGUUAGUGUUUUGACGUUACCGACAGAAUAAGCACCGGCUAUCUGUGCCAGCAGCCGCGGUAAUACAGAGGGUGCAAGCGUUAAUCGGAAUUACUGGGCAAAGCGCGCGUAGGUGGUUUGUUAAGUUGGAUGUGAAAUCCCCGGGCUCAACCUGGGAUGCAUUCAAAACUGACUGACUAGAGUAUGGUAGAGGGUGGUGGAAUUUCCUGUGUAGCUGAAAUGCGUAGAUAUAGGAAGGAACACCAGUGGCGAAGGCGACCACCUGGACUAAUAGACACUGAGGUGCGAAAGCGUGGGGAGCAAACAGGAUUAGAUACCCUGGUAGUCCACGGUAAACGAUGUCAACUAGCCGUUGGAAGCCUUGAGCUUUUAGUGGCGCAGCUAACGCA
Molecule: ribosomal RNA, 660 nt
Filed under: uncultured bacterium
Lineage: Bacteria
Description: bacterial SSU rRNA
Rfam family: Bacterial small subunit ribosomal RNA
Source: RNAcentral